CCUACGGGAGGCAGCAGUAAGGAAUAUUGGUCAAUGGAGGCAACUCUGAACCAGCCAUGCCGCGUGCAGGAUGAAGGCCCUAUGGGUCGUAAACUGCUUUUACACAAGAGAAAACCCCGGUACGUGUACCGGGUUGAUAGUAUUGUGAGAAUAAGCAUCGGCUAACUUCGUGCCAGCAGCCGCGGUAAGACGAAGGAUGCAAGCGUUAUCCGGAUUCAUUGGGUUUAAAGGGUGCGUAGGCGGACUUGUAAGUCAGUGGUGAAAUCUCUUUGCUUAACAAAGAAACUGCCAUUGAUACUGCAGGUCUAGAGUAUAGAUGACGUUGGCGGAAUAUGACAUGUAGUGGUGAAAUACUUAGAUAUGUCAUAGAACACCGAUUGCGAAGGCAGCUAACGAAACUAUAACUGACGCUGAGGCACGAAAGUGCGGGGAUCAAACAGGAUUAGAUACCCUGUAGUCCGCACCGUAAACGAUGAUUACUCGUUGUCGGCAAUAUGACCGUCAGCGACCAAGCGAAAGCGAUAAAGUAAUCCAACCUGGGGAGUUACGCCGGNAACGGUUGAAACUUCAAAGGAAUUGACGGCGNGAGAGNGCGAGACGACGACGAGGAGGAGG
RNAcentral lists this ribosomal RNA (615 nucleotides) under uncultured bacterium. Its description in RNAcentral is "bacterial SSU rRNA". It matches the Rfam family "Bacterial small subunit ribosomal RNA", at positions 338 to 947 of the family's 1533-position model. The record is from RNAcentral.